This 254-nucleotide ribosomal RNA is filed under the name uncultured bacterium. RNAcentral describes it as "partial 16S ribosomal RNA". It matches the Rfam family "Bacterial small subunit ribosomal RNA", at positions 524 to 776 of the family's 1533-position model. The record is from RNAcentral.
UACGGAGGGUGCGAGCGUUGUUCGGAAUUAUUGGGCGUAAAGCGCACGUAGGCGGCCGGGUAAGUCUCACUGUGAAAGCCCGGGGCUCAACCCCGGGAGGCCAGGGGAUACUGCUCGGCUGGAGACAGGCAGAGGCUGGUAGAAUUCCGGGUGUAGCGGUGGAAUGCGUAGAGAUCCGGAGGAAUACCUGAGGCGAAGGCGGCCAGCUGGGCCUGAUCUGACGCUGAGGUGCGAAAGCGUGGGGAGCGAACAGG